This 379-nucleotide ribosomal RNA is filed under the name uncultured eukaryote. Its description in RNAcentral is "partial 18S ribosomal RNA". It matches the Rfam family "Eukaryotic small subunit ribosomal RNA", at positions 592 to 976 of the family's 1831-position model. The record is from RNAcentral.
CAAUAGCGUAUAUUUAAGUUGUUGCAGUUAAAAAGCUCGUAGUUGGAUUUCGGAUGGGAUUUGCCGGUCCGUCGUUACGAUGUGCACUGGCCAGUCCUAUCUUGUUGUCGGGGACUAGCUCCUUGGAUUCACUUCCUGGGACUAGGAGCUGACGAGGUUACUUUGAGUAAAUUAGAGUGUUCAAAGCAAGCCUACGCUCUGAAUACAUUAGCAUGGAAUAACACGAUAGGACUCUGGCUUAUCUUGUUGGUCUGUGAGACCAGAGUAAUGAUUAAGAGGGACAGUCGGGGACAUUCGUAGUUCAUUGUCAGAGGUGAAAUUCUUGGAUUUAUGAAAGACGAACUUCUGCGAAAGCAUUUGUCAAGGAUGUUUUCAUUAA